This 299-nucleotide unclassified non-coding RNA is filed under the name Hevea brasiliensis (rubber tree). Lineage: Eukaryota; Viridiplantae; Streptophyta; Magnoliopsida; Malpighiales; Euphorbiaceae. The record is from RNAcentral.
AGGUAGUGAAGGAGAGACAAGAAGGUGCAUAUGAGAAGGACCUGUUGCAAAUGAUUCUUGAGAGUGCCAAAACUAGCAACCUGAACCGAGAAGCAACAGAUCAAUUCAUAGUUGAUAAUGCCAAGAACAUAUACUUGGCUGGUUUUGAGACUACAGCAGUUUCUGCCACAUGGUGCCUCAUGCUGCUGGCUGUAAAUCAAGAAUGGCAGGACCGUAUACGAGCAGAGGUUCUUGAAAUCUGUGGAGGUGGAAUGCCAGAUUCUGAUAUGAUUCGCAAGAUGAAACUGCUUAACAUGGUG